AAACUAAUUUAAUUUGGCGGCAUUUCAUCUAUUUAGAGGAAUUUGUCCUUUAAUCGAUAAUCCACGUUAAAUUUUACUUUAAUUUAAAACUUAUAUACCGCCAUUUCAAGAAUUAAUCUAGAAACAUUACUCUUAAUAAUUAAUAAAAAAUUAGGUCAAGGUGUAAUCAAUAUUAAAGAAUGAGAUGAAUUACAUUAAACAUAAUUUAAAGAUUAUUAAUAAUUAUAUAAAUAUAAAUAAGGAUUUAAAAGUAAUAUUAUAUAAUAAUAAUAAUAUAUGAUAAAGAUAAUAAAUGUGUACACAUCGCCC
RNAcentral lists this ribosomal RNA (309 nucleotides) under Tegecoelotes corasides. RNAcentral's name for it is "partial 12S ribosomal RNA". The record is from RNAcentral. Lineage: Eukaryota; Metazoa; Arthropoda; Arachnida; Araneae; Agelenidae.